GGAAUAUUGGACAAUGGGCGAAAGCCUGAUCCAGCAAUGCCGCGUGAGUGAUGAAGGCCUUAGGGUUGUAAAGCUCUUUUACCCGGGAUGAUAAUGACAGUACCGGGAGAAUAAGCUCCGGCUAACUCCGAGCCAGCAGCCGCGGUAAUACGAAGGGGGCUAGCGUUGUUCGGAAUUACUGGGCGUAAAGCGCACGUAGGCGGACUUGUCAGUCAGGGGUGAAAUCCCGAGGCUUAACCUCGGAACUGCCUUUGAUACUGCAAGUCUUGAGGAUGAGAGAGGUAAGUGGAACUGCGAGUGUAGAGGUGAAAUUCGUAGAUAUUCGCAAGAACACCAGUGGCGAAGGCGGCUUACUGGCUCAUUUCUGACGCUGAGGUGCGAAAGCGUGGGGAGCAAAC
This 398-nucleotide ribosomal RNA is filed under the name uncultured bacterium. RNAcentral describes it as "bacterial SSU rRNA". It matches the Rfam family "Bacterial small subunit ribosomal RNA", at positions 358 to 773 of the family's 1533-position model. The record is from RNAcentral.